RNAcentral lists this ribosomal RNA (1018 nucleotides) under Burkholderia sp. Its description in RNAcentral is "bacterial SSU rRNA". It matches the Rfam family "Bacterial small subunit ribosomal RNA", at positions 56 to 1066 of the family's 1533-position model. The record is from RNAcentral. Lineage: Bacteria; Pseudomonadati; Pseudomonadota; Betaproteobacteria; Burkholderiales; Burkholderiaceae.
UGCAGUCGAACGGCAGCACGGGUGCUUGCACCUGGUGGCGAGUGGCGAACGGGUGAGUAAUACAUCGGAACAUGUCCUGUAGUGGGGGAUAGCCCGGCGAAAGCCGGAUUAAUACCGCAUACGAUCCACGGAUGAAAGCGGGGGACCUUCGGGCCUCGCGCUAUAGGGUUGGCCGAUGGCUGAUUAGCUAGUUGGUGGGGUAAAGGCCUACCAAGGCGACGAUCAGUAGCUGGUCUGAGAGGACGACCAGCCACACUGGGACUGAGACACGGCCCAGACUCCUACGGGAGGCAGCAGUGGGGAAUUUUGGACAAUGGGCGAAAGCCUGAUCCAGCAAUGCCGCGUGUGUGAAGAAGGCCUUCGGGUUGUAAAGCACUUUUGUCCGGAAAGAAAUCCUUGGCUCUAAUACAGUCGGGGGAUGACGGUACCGGAAGAAUAAGCACCGGCUAACUACGUGCCAGCAGCCGCGGUAAUACGUAGGGUGCGAGCGUUAAUCGGAAUUACUGGGCGUAAAGCGUGCGCAGGCGGUCUGUUAAGACAGAUGUGAAAUCCCCGGGCUCAACCUGGGAACUGCAUUUGUGACUGGCAGGCUAGAGUAUGGCAGAGGGGGGUAGAAUUCCACGUGUAGCAGUGAAAUGCGUAGAGAUGUGGAGGAAUACCGAUGGCGAAGGCAGCCCCCUGGGCCAAUACUGACGCUCAUGCACGAAAGCGUGGGGAGCAAACAGGAUUAGAUACCCUGGUAGUCCACGCCCUAAACGAUGUCAACUAGUUGUUGGGGAUUCAUUUCCUUAGUAACGUAGCUAACGCGUGAAGUUGACCGCCUGGGGAGUACGGUCGCAAGAUUAAAACUCAAAGGAAUUGACGGGGACCCGCACAAGCGGUGGAUGAAGGUGGAUUAAUUCGAUGCAACGCGAAAAACCUUACCUACCCUUGACAUGGUCGGAAUCCUGAAGAGAUUCGGGAGUGCUCGAAAGAGAACCGGCGCACAGGUGCUGCAUGGCUGUCGUCAGCUCGUGUC